Molecule: ribosomal RNA, 540 nt
Filed under: uncultured bacterium
Lineage: Bacteria
Description: partial 16S ribosomal RNA
Rfam family: Bacterial small subunit ribosomal RNA
Source: RNAcentral
UGGGGAAUUUUGGACAAUGGGCGAAAGCCUGAUCCAGCAAUGCCGCGUGUGUGAAGAAGGCCUUCGGGUUGUAAAGCACUUUUGUCCGGAAAGAAAUCCUUGGCUCUAAUACAGUCGGGGGAUGACGGUACCGGAAGAAUAAGCACCGGCUAACUACGUGCCAGCAGCCGCGGUAAUACGUAGGGUGCAAGCGUUAAUCGGAAUUACUGGGCGUAAAGCGUGCGCAGGCGGUUUGCUAAGACCGAUGUGAAAUCCCCGGGCUCAACCUGGGAACUGCAUUGGUGACUGGCAGGCUAGAGUAUGGCAGAGGGGGGUAGAAUUCCACGUGUAGCAGUGAAAUGCGUAGAGAUGUGGAGGAAUACCGAUGGCGAAGGCAGCCCCCUGGGCCAAUACUGACGCUCAUGCACGAAAGCGUGGGGAGCAAACAGGAUUAGAUACCCUGGUAGUCCACGCCCUAAACGAUGUCAACUAGUUGUUGGGGAUUCAUUUCCUUAGUAACGUAGCUAACGCGUGAAGUUGACCGCCUGGGGGAGUACGUCG